RNAcentral lists this microRNA precursor (96 nucleotides) under Mandrillus leucophaeus (drill). RNAcentral's name for it is "miRNA (ENSMLEG00000008119.1)". Lineage: Eukaryota; Metazoa; Chordata; Mammalia; Primates; Cercopithecidae. The record is from RNAcentral.
UGAGGCAGGAGAAUUGCUUGAACCCAGGAGGUGGAGGUUGCAGUGAGCCGAGAUCGUGCCACUGCACUCCAGCCUGGGUGACAUAGCUAGACUCCA